UUGUGUUUAAAGUGGAAAUUUCCUUGCUACCUAUCUUCUUUGACCCUCCUAACAUCUCUUUAAUCCUUCUUCUCUUCUCCAAUUUCCUUCGAGAUUUCUUUCUUUACAUUCAUCCUUCUACCUUUACAUUAGAUUAUUAUGAUCCUUGCUUGUCAGCUCACAUAUAUCCUUGUUGAGUUUUUCAUGCUAGAUUGAGCAUCUCAACAAAUAUGUUAUAUCAAUCUCCCCCACCAAAAUACUUGCCAGACAUGCAUUUAAACAAAUCAUAGCAAUAAAACUUGCUACUUUAACUUUAAGAGAACAUUAACUAAAUAUUAUAGAAAUCAAAGGAUAGGAUGAAAGAGGAAAACAUAAAAAAGAACUGAGGAUAGGAUGAAACAGUCUCCGAAAGAUAAGGAGCAGAUGGAAACUUUAACAAAAAAUUUCAAUAUCAAAGUUUUCCAUUUUAAACUGAUCUUUUUAGGAUGUUUUAGGAUAUUCUAUAACUAUGUUGUUGACAAACCAGGCUUUUCAUAAAAAAAUCCAUGAUUGCCUUGCCAGACUCCUAUUUUCAUUACAAUUGCUCAAAUUAAUUCGGACAAUAUCUGAGGAUGUCAAUAGACAGUUCCAGAUCCCAGCCUGACUUGGUUCAAACUUGGUACACAAUAGAAUUUGUCUGGUUCAGUCAGGUCAGGUUGCUCCUAUAAUCUAGGCCAUACAGGUUGACUCGGCAAAUAUAGGUGAUAGACUAGCCUCUAGCCAAGGUGGUCUCCUAGGCAUCUAGGUGAUCACCAAGGAACAAACUUAGUACAAACUCACUAAAUUAUGCUUUGAUUCAAGUUCUUCAUUUUCACAAUUAGAUUUCUGAACUGUUUCAAUAAGUUUAAAUUUUAACAUACCUCAGGGUAUUCAUUGUGAACACAAACAAAUAAGUCUCUUUCAAGAUAUAUUACAAUUUGUUAAACUUUUUCUAAAUUUAUAAUAUAUGUAAUAGAAGCAAUAACAAAUAUUAUGGAUCUUUCAGAUCAAUUGGUGGAAUAUGUCCAGCUUACUUAGUCAUUUAUCUUGGUAGAGAUUGGAGCUAAGGUUUCUAUUUUUGAAUAAAAGAUCUCUUUGUGGUUACUUGUUCAAUACUUAAAUUCACAUUAUUUCUUUUUAAUUGUAAUUUUUUAUUGAGGUUUAGUCUAAAGUCUCUCACUCUCUUAUUUGCAUAUGUGUCAUAUAAGAAAAGAUUGCAAGAAAUUACUUCGUACUGUAUAUAUGUAUGUGUAUACAUUUACGUACAUACAUGUAUGAAUAAUAGUCAUACACACACAAUAUAUGUAUAUAAGUUUGCAUAUUUGUUUUUUUUACCUAUAUUUAUAUAUACAAAUUAAUGUUACAUUUGUAUAUAUGCAUUCAUUUGUAGUACACAUACAUUCAUAUAUGUAUAUAUUAUAUUGAUAUAGUCACAUUUAUAUGUAUGUAUAUAUGAAUCUUUGUGUAUAUAUAUGGAUAUAUUAAUGAUAGUCAAGGCAAGGCUUGCCUAGGCAAUCACAGGCCCUAUACAUCGCCCAAGCUAGGCGACGCCCAUAACAACUAUGUCAUGGACUAACCUGUUUAGACCAUUAUGCCAUAUCUACACCCACACAUGCAUAUGAAUGUCCAUGUGCAUGUGCAUGCAUGUCUUCAUGACUUUGUAAAUUAGUCUAUCAUGCUUGACAAUUUAGCUUCUAUUGCAGAUUUCGAAUAAUUAGUAUCAAAGCAGACAUCCAGAACCAGCAUUAACUAUGAAAAACAUUUAAAGCUGGCCUUGCAUUAUGCCUCUUAAACAAAUGCUAUCCUCGCUACCACUCCUAUUAAAAAAAGGACAUGCAUGCAUGUGUUUAACUUUUAAAAUUAAAAAUUUGUACCAUAUAAUUCUCAAAAAGUGGUCAAAGUUGGUUGAAAGAUUUCUACGGAACAGUGAAUUCAUGGAGUUAGGAAAGUUUCAUACGACUAGUUAUUUUUUCUAAACCCUUAGAAACAUCUAGAGUUUUAUAAUUCCUAUGUCAGAAAAGUAUUAGCUCUAUCCAUUCCUCCACCGCAACUUAAUUAUACACCUCUCCCUUCCUAUGAACUUUACACUUUAUGAAAAGCAUUCUUCUUUUGCUAGGCUAUUUUCACAAAAUAUUGCUAAUUCUAAAUCUUGUCUAUAAUGCAAAGAAAAAAAUCUUCUGUUGUUGCUAAAAUAGCAAGAGAUUUUUUCCCCUUCAACCUUCAUUUGCAAAAAGUUUUUUGUGAAAUGGCAACAGAACAGUUUUUUUUCUUUAACCUUCAAGGAAAUGUAGUGAAGAAAUUUUGUAUAACAUGUAAGUUAGCAAUCAAAUAUCUAAAUCCAACAUGUAGAACAGGAAAGAAAAAAAAGAGAAUGAAAACAUGACACACGAAUGGUGUGGUUUCAUGCUGUAAAUAUUAUAAAUGUGGUCUACACAUCACAAACACUAGAUAAAAGAACUUGCCUGAUUACAUGGAUUAGUCAAUAUCACUCAGGUCAUAGUCUCAUACCCAAAAAAAAAAAAAGUUACUAUUUUUGUUCAAAUAUGUCAUCAAUUGAUACCUAUCAAGACCCAAGACUGAGUAGUGAUGUGACAUCAAAUAGCUUCCACUUUCCCUAGGAGUGAAUCUGAAAUUUGUUCUUCUAUCUUUGUAAGAUGUAUCUGUCUUCCAGUACCAGUCAUCCCUUUGGAAAUGCUGAUAUGCUCCAGGACCAGGAUCACUCCAUGUCUCAUAGCUCUUCUUAUACUUGCUUCUUUCUUUGUUAAAUACACUUUGCACCCGCCUUAUGCGUUCCUAGGAAAGGCAAUAGUUUCGUUGCUAUUUCAGUAGAAACUCAAAAUACUUAUAAAAAAUUUGGAGAAGAAAACAUAUUUUGUCGAGAAGAGGUCAUUACGAAGUAUGUUGCUAGAAUAGCUCCCUAGAUUUGCAUAAAAGUAGUGGAGAUGAUGAAAAUAGUAAAUCACAAUUAGUCAGGGUUGAAAAAACUAGCAAAUAUAAGAUCCAAAAUGUAAUCACACAUAUUAACAUAGGCAAAUGCAAUUAAGAAUAAGCAAAUUAAUAUCUCUUGAACAAAUGACUAUAAACUAUACAUCCGCAAUAAUUCCAAUGUUAUAGACCAAAAUACUCUACAGUCAUGUAAUUGAAGUUGGAAAAAGUCAUGGAUUCAAAAACCACCGACUGAGACUGUACUAUCAGUUUUGUUCUAUUUCGGUGCAAAAACAUCACCUGCAUGAGUGUUAGGUCAACAAAACAGGUAAAAUUGAGAUGUAUUUGCUGUCCUGAUCGGCACUGAUUGGUACCAAGGCCGGCAUAGCUAAUACAAAGCCUAUUCUAGUCAGGACGACAAAUUUUUUAUUUUUUUAAAGAAUAGGAAUGGAACGAACCAGCCACCCUGAUGGGUUCCGACUAGUACGAGCCAGUACCAAGGCCAGUUCAGUUGGCACCAAACUCGUCCUUGUUGGGACAGCAAAAUUUCUUUAAGAAAUGGUAGAGGGCCAGGUUGGCUGACCCAAAGUGAAGUAUGAAAAAGACAAGUUGGUUGCACAUUAAACCUGAUACAAAAUCAUACAACAAAUAGAAUUAUCCAACUCAAUAAUGAAAGAUAACAUGCUAAAAUUAUUCAACCAAGAAAAUAUGGAAAUCUGGUGAUAGGGACUAGUGAAUAACACUUGUUCCUUGUGCUAAAGGCAAUUCAUUCUGAUAUUUGAUAGUGCUCCAAGACAACAAUGCCAAUUAGAACAAUACAGUAGGUGAUCAGAUGAACUUCAAUUGAAUCUAUAUUCACAUUGCACCACAAAAAUAAAGAUUAACUUAAUAUCCAUUUACAUAUCAAAACCCCAAAAAAGGAAAAACCAACAAGAAAAGAUAAAAAUUUCAAAUUUGCAUACUGGUACGGUGCUAAUACAUACAUCCCAAGAGUCGAUACAGCAUAGGUUAGUACCGCACCAUUCCUGAAAAAAACUAAUACCAUCAUCGGUAUUGGUAUUUCGAUCCUUGGGAAAAGUUAUGCCUUGCCUUGCUAGGCAAAUAGCUUCAGAUAUUGGAGGACCCAGUAGGAACAAGAUAGGUUCUUCAGAGCUAGGAGGUCAAGGUAAGAUUUUGUAAUAGGAGGAAAGGGUAGAGGGCUCACCUAGGUACAACAAUGUCUCCUAUCUUAAAUGGAAAUUGUUAGUUGCAGAUGUAACAUUUAAGUUUAAGAAAAAGACUGCCACUCAUGAAGUUGCAGCUCUAGGAAUAGCAACCAACUCCUCUCCUAAACUUCUUCCUCUAAUUUUCCCCAGGACAUGCUUCAUGAUUAUUGAUAUGCAUCAAGAGGGUCAAAGGACAAAGGGGUUUAAUAACCGUAUACAAGAACAAAUCCUAGUGAUGAGAAGAAAGGGUUGUUGCCCUUGAUCUAGCUAAUAUAAGGCUACAACUUGCUUCUUGAGAUUAAUGACAAAAGGUUCUAUAAGAAUACAAUGACAAAAGAGAGGAAGGGCAUUAACAAAAUCCAUCUUAUGGAGAUAUGUCAAUAACACUAUUGACUAAUUGCCUUUUUUUUCAAGUUUCAGGUUAAAUUUGUACUAAAAUAAUGAAAGACAACCUCAAAUGAUAAGAGCCUUUAUUUUUCUUAUUAAAAGAAAGAACAAAGUAACAUAGUCUGAAUGCAACCUCAAUGAAAAUAGGAAUGGGAGUGAGCUCUACGUAUAGCCAAGAGAUCCCACAAUGUCAGCAGUUUCAUUGUCUUAGAUCUAUCAUAUUUAAAAGUGAAAUACUUAAUCAAGACACAUCUAGUAGAACUAGACUACUAGAGAAUGGUGAAUUGAGAGAAUUUUAUUGACAAAACAAAUGAUGUCAGUCAGAAAAGUCUGUGAUAGGCUAAGAUCAGAAACUUCAGUUAUCAGGUGUAAAAAUGAAUCAUUUACAUAAGUUUACAUGGGAUCAAAUUCAUGAUCCAAAGGAGCCAUCUAGAUUGUACACAACUUUCAAAGGCCCAGAUUGAAAUAAAACAACCAAUCAAAAGACGGAGAGGAACAAAAAAGAGAAAAGAGAAAAACAGAAAAUUCAUCGAUUUUCGAAAAACAAAUACUUCUACAUUGCUUUUCCCACUUCUAUAAACCAUAAAGUCUCAAAACUAAAUACUCACACCACACUCUCGCCACCAAUACGGAUUUUGACUAAAAGCAGAGAUAAGAAGAAGAAAGGAAGAAAAUGGUUCGGCCAAAUGGAGCAAUCAGUCAUCCUUUAUUUUCUUUCUUUUCCCUUUCUUUUUUCCCCUAUUAUUUUUUACUCCUCCUUUGUUUCUCCAGUCAUUUUCCUUUUCUCCUCCUUUCCGAACUUACUGUGUGUGUAAGGUGAGGUUGGAGACUGCAGCUCCCUCUAAAUUUGUAGACCCACAUAAUCAGUUGAAUGUAUAUUGGUUGAUUUGGAUAAAUUUUUGUUGCACAACUCAAAACCUGCAGUAACUCAGUUCAUAGGCGAUCUCUAAUCUCAAAAAUUGGUCCCAAGACAUAAAAAAUUAAAACAAGCCCUAAAAGAUCCUGGAAAUGGUGAUAUAAAAUUUAAUUUAAAAAAUAGACAUAAGAAAACUUGAACUUUGAAAGUUAAAUAUCUAAUGGUAAGCAGCUAAAUAAACCAAAGGGCGUAUUGUGAGACCCACAAUGUCACCUGCUUCAGAAUGUUGAGCGAUAUUGAAGGUCCAAGGAAACAAAAGAUGGAUGCAAUGGACAUGUAAGUAUUAUGAUGGAUGUGGUAAAACAAGAAAAUGUAAAGUAUACAUUAGAAUUGGCAAGAAAAAGACAAAUUGAGGAAAAAGAGAUGGGGAUUUCAGAGACAGUAUGGACACACACCAUAACGAUUUGAGGAGGCCCUGAUAUGAAGGUGCUUGACUCUUUGCUGAAAGUCUAUAUAGAAGAGAGGUCAUGUAGCAUCAUAAAACAUUAAAGGCUACAUGAUCAAAUAACAAAGGAUCCAAUUCGGAGCUGAUUAUAUCUGAAUUACUAUGCAAAAGAGAAGAAUAUAAUAGAUCAAGACAAAGAAUAAGAAAAAGAGUAGAAGGAAUAGGGGGAAGGAAGAGGAGCAGGGUAAAAGCCAGCAGCCAACUCUCACUCCAAGUAAAUUUCCAUAACUCUAAAACUGUAUGACAUAGACUCAAUAUCCCUAUUAUAACAACAGCAAAAUCCUAAUACAACCCUAAAUCCCUAGACUACCCCUCAAAGCAUUAAGUUACUGUUAAUGAGUACUGUAGCGUGAGUAUUACCAUGAACAGUACCACUACAGUAACAUGAUUUAUUCAAAUAGAACUCAGCUAUAUCUUAACACAAAUCCAACAAGGAUUAAAAAUAAACAGAAAUAACAGCAAAAAUAAUUAAAAGCUAAAUAGAUCUGUUCUCGAUUUUGAUAAUCUGCAACCCUUAGGUGCAUCAAAGGGAAAGCCAAUGCAGAUAUGGAUAGAAGCCGUGACAAACUACUAGACAACAAACUACUAGACAAAGGUUGCAGUUCAACAUUGGAAGUAACACUUGAUAGUAAAGACUAGGGAAUGAAAAUUCAGAAAGCCAACUUCAACAUGUUCGGUUAAUACUUGAUGAUUAAGGUCACAAUCUCAUUGCCUAUUUGCUCUUACAUGGCUCUUUUUUUAGGGAAAUAUAGGUAUUACUCUAAUACAUUAUCAACACUCCCUGUUCACCCAGCUACCUUGUUUCUGUGCUUAAGAUGUAAGAGUGGGCUACUGGAUAAUUUUAAUUACAAGACCAAGUGGGAUUUGCUAAACCAUGCAACUUAAUGGAAGAUCUUGAAUUAGUAAACUAGAGGGAUUUUCUAAAAUAUAGGCCCUUAUUGCCAAUACAUUUGGGUAAGGUUUAUUUUAAAGCUCCAACUAUUAUCAUGCCACCUAAAUAUGCAGGAGUGCUCUUAGCCUUGGAAUUUUAGCAGUAUGAACUAGGAGUUAACUUCAUCAAAACAAGUAAUUUUCCACCAAUAAUUAAAAAAACACCAACACAAAAUUAAAUUUUGACAUGUUGAAGAGGAAAUUAAUCACAAAAAAGAUGCCACAGCACAAUGGUAAUGCAUUGAACAAGAAAGCAGAAAAUAAACUGACCACUCUCUCCAUCUCCUCCUCAUACUCCUCUUGCAUUCGACGGUUGUAUCUAUUCCAAGCUUCUUCCCUAUAACUUCCACGAUUUGAACUGCCGGUUGCAUUCCUCCAUGAUGAAGAUUGCUGUGACCUGUUAACCUUUAAAAGCAUCAAAAUGACCAAAGAAACUAGUCAACGAGCAUGUCUGACAAAAAAGCACCAUCUACUAGUGAAGAGCGGGAUUCCAUUUGGAUGUCCCAAUGCUAUCAUAACGAAAACAAAGAGUCAUGUUCUUAUUUAAAAGGAAAGAAAAAAAGAGUUAGAAGGAGGCUUCUGGAAACAUAUGACAAUCAUACAAACAGAGAGAUUUCAGACUUAUGAUUAAAGAUUUCAGACUUAUCAAUAGUUCUCGAUGACCAUGAAGUACUCGAGAAGAGAAAUUGAUUCGCUGACAUUUAAACAACUAAGUAUCAGUAAAGAAGAGGUUCUAUUACCCUGCCCAGUUCUUUGAGCUUUUCAUAUUGUUUUUUUUGCUUUUCUAAAUCAUAACUAUAUAUCAUCUGCAUGGCCACUAUUAGACAUCUUAUUGUUAGAUAUUCUUCUGCUAGGAAUUUCAAGCCUUACCAAUCAACUACAUGUUAGACUAACAAAUAUUGAAGUUUAAUCUAGGCAUGUUCCUAAGAAAAAUCUGUGCAUUUUCAGUUGAUUACAACAAAAAAAAAAAAACUCUCUUCCAAAGAAUACCAACAAAAUAAAAAAAAACAUAAAACCAAAAGAUAUAGAAGAUAUGCUGGUUUGGAUAGUGAUAUAAUUUACACAUGUCAUUUCGUUCAUUUUCAGAGACUUGUCUGUAUCCCAAGUCAAAACAACAUUUUAAGCUAAAUGACCAUAGCCAAAUGAACACACAAAGGAUCAUGCAUUUGACUAUUUAAUAAGUAUCCGUGUGUUAUAUGUUAGCUUGUCCACCUAGUUUGGCACUUUCCUUUUUUCUUAAAGAAAGAAAACCGAUCUAGGUUACCAAAUCAUGAAAUUUACAUAAAAAGAUAACAGAACAGCGAUGAUGAUAAUGGUUGGCAAUGAACCUUAUUUAGCAAACAUUUCAAUAACUAAAGCAUAGAUAGAUAAAAGCUGUUGUGUUGGUGGGGGUAGAUUUCUAUCAAAUGAAAAGCAUGGAAAGAUUUUACCAAAGCUAAGAUUAACCUUUCUGGUCCAUCAUAUUGAUCCAUAUGCAUGUCUGAUAUAAAUAAUUAAUAAAUAGUAUAAUAUAAUGUAAGGAAAAUAUUGAUUAAUUCCAAUGGCUGUUAUUCUCGUUAAAUUUAAAAACCUUAAGUUAUGUUAUUUAUUUUUGUUGAGAAACUUAAAUAGAGUAAGAUUUGAGAUCUGAUAGGACCUCCAUAUGAUUUGUUUCGAGACAGUGGAUCACAUAUAUCAUGCUUUUGCUUACAUUGCUAAGGUGAUUUGUUCAAGACAACAAGUUUUAGAUGUUCUGUAAAAGUAGGUACGUGUUGAUGCUGGCAUAUUAUCGUUAUAUUACCUGACUCCAAAAUAAUCCAUUUCAAAGUCCACUUUUAAUUAGUUGUAAACAGUAGUGUCUUGAGGAGACAAGCUUGCAUGUCAACAUCAAAGAGAAGCUAUAUUACAUUCAUUAGUUUACCUGAGUAUAGAACCAAUCAACAGUCCUGCGCAACUGACCAACCUGCAAGAUUGCACCAUAAAACAUGUAGAAGUAUGUCAUAACAAAAAACAUUAAGUGAACAUAAAAACUUACAUAUACGAUUAUGAAUUUUUUUUCUAAGAAAGAAAAAAUGGAAUCAUAAUUUCGUAUGAAGAUCAUAACAUCAGCUUGAGAAUAUACAUAAAAUUAAUCUGUAGCAGUGAAUGGAGUUUAUGUUUGAUUUGUAGCUUCCAAGAGCACUUCCCUUUUCAAAAUUCAAUACAGCCUCAAAAAUUCCCUUCAACUAAAUUAUUUUCGACCCAGAUACACCAACUAUCAGAGACAAAGGAAAGUUCCACACUAUCAGACACAGGCAUUGCAUGUGACCUCCAAGAUUUUGAACAAAUUCUGGAUAAAAACUCAUAAAAUUCUAACAAAAAAAGUCAGUAAACAUAUUUACAUAAACUAAAGUCUGUCUUAAAAGCCAAAAAUUUAGAAUUCAUACUCUUUAGAGACUUUCAAAAAUAAAAGGGUUAGAAAAGGUAGUAUAAUAAUCAGCUUUAAAUGAAGAAUAGAGGAAAAAGAAAAAAUAGUCUGCUUGCCCUUGUUCUCUAAAUUGAUAACAUCUGUGCAUUCUCAAAUCAAAUAGAGGUGCGUGCGCGUCAUUUUCCCCCCUAAAAUCUUAAAAACACCAGGAUGUUUCUUUUAACUAGACAAUAAUAAAGAAGGAACCGCAAUCAAGAAUUUAAACAAAUUAAAGAUUGAUGCUUCAAUCUCGAAUCCUUGAAUUUGAUUAGGAAGAACAAAAUUUUUAAAAUUGAAGGCCAAUUCAUUGCCGGGUUUUCUGAAAAAUCAAAAGAAAGUCCCUAUUGAAAACAAUCAUAUAGUAAAAUAAUAUAAAGAACUCAAACAAGCACCUGAAUUCUCAUUACCUUCGUGAAAUUUGAUUAAAAAAAUGCAAUAUUUGACAAAUAAUAGUCCAAAAUACUUAAAAAAGAAACCCAUCCAACCUAAAAUUCGGCUCAAUCCGUGGAACAGUCAGCCGAGAAAUCAAGAGGACAUCAUUUCAACCGAAAUUGGGAAAAAAGACUUCUGGAUUUUCAAGAAAAACAGUUAAAAAACAACUAAAAGGCAAACCCACUGAUACCAUUCGAUCCAAGAAGAUAGAAGGAGAAGAAGAUGAGGCGGGAGGGAAGGGUUACCGCGACGGUGGUGGCGGUGGCGCCGAUCAGACCGAAGAGGAGAAAGCCCCACGGCAACGAGCUGUAAUCUCUAUCUCGCGAUGGGUCGCGGUCUCUGCUCUUCCGAUCCGCGGGGAUCAUUUUUAUAGGCUUCGCGCGGCCCGAGCUCGAACUGAGAGACGGGACGAGGAGAAGGGCAUGACUCGAUCGCGCGGAAGGAAGGAACGGAUCCACUCGUCGGAACAACGAAUCGAAGCGAAAGAAAGGACGAGAGAGAGAGAAAGUGCGGUGUUCUUGAUAAUUUCCACAAAAGCGGGGAAGCGCACCGCGAGAGAAUCCGACCCGCAAGUUUCCUCUCUAUUAUUUUACAUAUUUAAAAAUAAUUAAUCGUUUGGCACGGGCAGUGCACGUGCGAAAGGGAUGAAAUUUUUUUUCUGUUUUAUAAGGUCCUCCCGUGUACAUACCCACCAUCAUGUAAUAUCUAGGAUGGCAACAUCGAUGUCUUUUAUAGCACCUAUUGUGGUUCAAAUUCGACCCGAAGGUGACCACGCCGGAGGAGUCGAAUGAGCUACACUAGUUAGGAUAGAGUAGGGACGCUGCUUCCUGCGCGUCGGCAGACCUGCACAAAGUCUCACCGGUAAGAUUCCGAUGAGAGUCCUCCCAUAAUUAAGUUGAAAUAGAUUUUAGGUAGAGCAGCCAAAAAAUCUUUAAGCGUUAUCUGAUGGGGCUAUUUAUAGUUCCCGCGAAAGUGCUCCCAUGUUAUGAGCAGGACGAUCCAUUUUGCCCCCCAUCAGCACCGUUCCACCAUAAUUGACUAUAAAAUAUGGCCGCACUAUUUUGAUCAUCUAUAUCUCGUUUUCUCUAUCACUACAUUUUGCUAAUAUAGCAAACUAUUUUUUAAAGGUGCAACAAGGAUAGAAAUCCUGCCCCCCUAUUUAGGGCCUAAUUGGAUCCUAAAAGAAUCAGGUUUAUUUGGCCCGCCCAUUCCGAAUCUUGUAAGGGCCUACCCAAGUCUCGAUCUAUAUCCAAGCUAGUGAGCAUGAAAAAGACACGUGGAGGUUUGUUUUCUUUCCUACGGGAUUUAAGUUGGAGACUCUUAGGUUGAUAUGGGCUACACUCAAAUAAACUUCCCAAUCAUAAUUUCAGUAAAAAAAUAUCCGAACAGGCCUUUAAGAGGAUUUACAGCCCAAAGUAUUUUCGUGAUAGAGAACUCUCUCAACUUUCGCAUGCAAGCAUGAGGAUGCUACCACUAAACUAAAGCUAUUUUAGCCUUUAUUUGAUAUCUUUGAAUCUCUCUCUAAGCUGGAAUGUUGCUAUAUAGUCAUCCAUUAGUAAAAAUCUCUUCUUUAAACAAAACUAUAAUUGACUCUGUUGUUGUCUGGGAGAGGGAGAGAGAUAAAAUGAGUGCAACAUCUGAGCGUUGGAAUUCAUUUGUUGGAUAAACUUACAUUCAUCCGUACUUCUUUGAAUAGAUCAUUUGUCUAGCACUGUCCAAAAAUACAUCUGAUAGUGGGAAUAUAUAUGAUGGAUACAAUACUACACUUAUCUAUUCUCAUCUCUCUUAAUUAUAACCUGUUUAGACACAUAGUAGAUGAGAUCAAAAAAAACAGAAAGAAAAUAAAAGAAAAAAAGAAUAAGGAAGAGAAGAGAACUUCAGAAAUGAGAUUAAAAAAGAAAGGAAGAGUGGGUUACGAGUUGGGGGAAAAACAGGUUAACUUUUGUCACAGUUUCUUUUUUAUUCUCUUCUUUAGCUAUCCAAACUAGAAAAUUUGAUUUUCUCUUUUCUUAUCUCCCAACCAAACUAGAGAUUCUUUUUCUCCUCUCACUCUCUUCUCUCCGAUUCUCUCAAUCAAAACAUAAAGAGUAGAAAUUCAAUUAAGAGAAAAAUAUUUACUAAAAGUAUAUAUGAGAAAUAGUUGGACAUCUUAGCCACUAGAAUACCUAUUGGGAGUUCGAUUAAUAUGAUUGCAAAGAUAUUUUAUUCUUAUGUAAUAUGUUUUUUCUCAUAUUUUUGUUUCUUCUCUAUUUCUUUAGAACUGGAAUGGGAGGAAGUCCGGGUGAGAUUGUGAUGAGGGCAAGAUUUGAAUAAGCUUCAUUAGUCUCAAACACCCAGUGACUUUACCUCCUAAGACAAUUGGUACUCUCUUUAUCUCUUCAUGAUCUAAUUUCUAUGGUUAUUAGGAUUCUCCAAAGAUUAUCUACAGAUUCUUUUGUUGGUAUCUUUUUAUUAGCUUAUCCAUCCACAAAAAGUAGCCAAAACCCUGAAUAAUGCUAAGAUCCCAAAAUUCCUAACCCGAGAUAAUCCUCCCUUAUAAACUUCCAAGUUAUUUUUAUUUCCAUAGGUCAUUUUAGUUUAAUUCCCAAAUCUGCUUGAAUUUAUAGGGAUCUACACAUCAGAUAUUAUGUUAUAAGGAUUUAAUUUAGCACUAGAUUUUAAACCCAAGGCAUUCUACGUCCUAUACUAAUUCAAAAUUCGACUAUGAAAAGUUCAAGCUUAGUCCCGUCAAAUUUUGAAUAGAAAUUCUAGAACACUACUUAUUUUGCUCGAAAACCCCCAUGUAUAUUUUUAAUUGAUCGUUAGGACUUCCAAUAUCCUUUAAAUACUAGAAUGUUCUUUCCAACUCUUAUCAAACUUUUGUACGCCAUUGCAUAGGAGCCUGUUUUAAACUUUACAAGGUCUUGACAAGCUUAAACACUAAGUUCUUGUCCCUUUAUAAUAAAUCUUUAAAUUAUUCUACAUAGAUCUCUUCUUCUAGACCUCCAUUUAGAAAUAUAAUCUACACAUUCCUCGUAAAUAAUUAGUUUAUGAAUGAAAACAAUAGCAAGAAGGAUUCUGAGCAUUGUGAUUCUGGAUAUAGGAGAAUAGAUGCCAUGGUAGUCUAUACCCUUCUUCUCGUUCUAACCUUAAGAUACUAACCUAGUCUUAUUCCUUUUUAUUGAUUCAUCAAGUCUAAUCUUCUUAUGAUAACCCGCUUACAACAUACCACAUUAUUAGCACUAGGCGGAUCAAUCAAUAUCCAGAUCUUGUUUUAGAGGAUCAAAUUGGAUUCAUAGUUGAUGGCUUCCUUCUAGAACAAAGCAUCAAGCAAGAACAUCGUCUCACAAAAGUAGAAGUUCAUUUUCUAUAAGGAAAGCAAAGAAGCCUUCACCAAAAUUUUUCUCUUUCCUAACCCUUGAGUUUUUUCUAAGUUCAGUGAGUCCACUAAUUACUUGAGACAUUUUCCUCAUUUUAGAUUCACAAGUAAAUUCAUGUCCUCUAAGAUUAGGGUUAUAGAAAGAAGGAUGACACUGAACCAAGAACUUGGUUUUUAAAGGAAAAGAAAUUCUCAAAGUAAGUUGCAUCUCUAGCUUCGAUAAGGAUAUUUUUUGACAUGUUACUAAUCUCUAAGUUUAUUACUAAAUAUCUAUUGGUAUUACUAAUUAAGGAAUGUCCUACAAAAUAACACCUACAACUUUAUUUUUUUUAUUUUUAAGAUUUAGGUAUUCCUAUCUUAGCCAGACACCUCCCAUAAUUUAUAGUAAUUAGCCUUGAGGCUCCAUCCUUUUAAAGCUCAAACAUUGUCUCAAUACUAUUCUUAAAAUUUAUACUAUCCUUAUAAAGUUGCAUAGCACAAUAAAGCAAUAAUUUUAUCAAUUGCACUAGUUGGCACCCACAACAUAUUGUUUGUACUUGCUCCAACCAAUCCAAGGAGUAAUUCAAAUUGAUGGCGUCCUAGCACAUCUUGGAGUAGCAACAGCCAGUUGAAUCUUUAAAGCCUUGAAUAUUGUGUUUUAGUUUCUAGUUUUGUCUGUUAGGUUGCAUUAGAUGAUUCUAGUUCUCUGUUGCAAAAUGGUCAGGCUAGACGGUAGUAGUUAGAUACCAGUGGAAUAGCAAAUUCUUUUUCUGGCACAUAAGCAGUGGAAAAAUGUAAAAGUUUAUGCAGGUGUAUUUAAUCACACAUCAAUUAUACUUUAGGAAGAACUUAGAUACUUAUAUAAAGGCAAUAAACUCAAAUAAUACCUUCUUACUAGUCUUUUUAGGUAAAAUCCUAUGUUGUUACAUAUGGUAUCAGAGAAGAUUGGACUUAUGGCCUAUAUAAACUAAGGGACACUAUGGACUCUUUUAAAGCUGACCACAGAUUAAUCAUGAUAUUUAUAAUUGAAUUUAAUUAGAUUUAGACUUUUAGUCUCGCGAGAAUGCCAGUACUUAAACAGAGAAAAUAUAUAAGAAUUCAUGCAUGAGUGUAUUUAGUCUGACAUCUGUUGUGUGUUGAGAAAAACUUGAAUAUUUUUAGAAGAUCAAUGAAUCUAAAUAAUAUCUUCUAUUUAGUUCUUUUGAAAGGUUGAUAUAGAAGUUGACAUUGAAGGUCCAAAUGAAGUUGAUCACAAAGAAUGCUCGAGAGAUAUGGAAAAUGAGUUUUUCUUUGCUAUGCUUAUAACACUCUAGAAGGUUAUCAAAGUGAAGCGACUUGACUAGGUAAUGCCUGUGGUUGACUAUUUGAGGCUCUUAUCUCUCUCUCUCUCUCACUCACUCACACUCACAUACAUCCAUAUAUAAAUAAUUAUGCAAAAAAUUCUAAACUAUUUGAGGCUUAUCAAUUUUUUUCUAAACUUUAUUUGAGUACAAUCAAGCCAUCGAACUUUUAGAUUUGUUCAGUUCGAACCUAGGCUAUGAAUUUCAUCUAGCUAUUAUGACGAAAUUGUUACAUAAUGUCAUAUGAGGCGCCAUCCUCUUCCGUCGUAUAAGUUGGUCAUAUACUCAUAUGACAUCACGUUGAUAAUUCCAUUACGAUAGCCAAACUAGUUUAGGAGGAAAUUGAUAAACUCCAACUAGGUCGGAAUUUUUUGGAUGAUUAUUUCUUAUGUAUGUAUGUAUGUAUUUUUCUAUAUAUUGUUGAGUUGAUGUAAUUAAUGCCUAUAGGUUAUUUUGCUAAAAAAAUGCCUUUAUAUUUUUUGAGAGGAAUUAUAUAAGAAAAAGUUAUGUCGGUGUUGAUUAUAUUUCUUUUUCUGGGAUAAAUAUCUGGGCAUCGAAGGCAGAUUUGAUUGAUCAGAAUGGAAAAAGAUGAGAUGCAUUCUAGAUAUACCUAAUCUGCCCAUUAGAUGCAGUAAAAGUGGAUAAGAAGAUUUGAGUUCUGCCGUUUGCCUCAAAUGGAAUGGUUGAAUGUGUACGUCAUCCAAUAUGAAGGUCAAAGCAGAUGAGUCGUGAAACUAAUACUGUUUUCAAGAAAUCAAGAAGCUGCAAGCAAAAAAAUUGUUAAAGAAAUGAAGAGUCCUGAGAUUCCGGUGGCUUUCUUAGGGGCAGGGAGCGUUGGAUUCGGGUUCGGUUAGCAGGGGAAAUGGGCUGGACCGGGAUAGAUCGGUGGACGGGUUACGUCAAAUUACACCCCCCUGAAGCCUACUUAUAUACAUCACGGGCCUCAUCAAAUGUCACCUUGGGCCUUCAGAAUGGGAACUCUUGUAAGUUUCUUAUUCCAUCUCGGCCCUUUCCCCUCAGGAGUUUUGUUUUAUUUUUUCUCCAUGCUACAAAGUAUUACUUUGGAGGCACCAUCAAUCAUUUCAGAAAAAAAUAAAUGAGAAUUAUUAGAUCAUGAUUAGGUCGUAGUCAGCCUAGUGCAGCCUUGCUGCAGUAUCUCUCUGUAAACACUGAAUCAUAUGCUGGGUUUAUUUUGAUACCAUUUACGAUAACCUAGGAUCUCAAACCAAAAGGAUUAGUUAGAGAUAUUGCUUGGAUUCUUUAGUAUCCAAGAUCGUUCCAAUGCAUAGCUGAUAUGAGACUAAUUACACAUCCAUACAGAUCCUCACAAAGCUCUAUCUAAAAUCUCGGCUCAUUAGGAAGCCGAGCCAGAACACUGCACACUCUCAAAAACCAAGGGAAGCUUGGCUAGGCUUUGUGCUUAUAUAAACCAGCUGAGUUUGAGCCGAGUGCAAGGUCUGCUCAUGGAGCUGAGCCCAAGCAGCCUAAAACUUGGCCCCUUUCACCCAUAUGUGGAACACUGCCAAGGUUUGAGCGAUGGAAGAUGGAACCAUUAUGUGACCGCUGAGCCAUAGCUUAUAGUUUCUGCUAACUGGACCUGAGGGUUACAUAAACUUUUAAUAGGUUCGCCCACCCCGUGACCCACAGAUCUAAAAGACAUACCAGAAACCAGACCUCCUAGUGCUGGAUCCUUUUUGGGCGUGUAAGAUCCCGUUUUAUUUGGGCUUGGCCCAGCCUGCUACGGCCUUGUCGGGUAAGAAUGGGCCACUUGGGCCGCUUAGUAAGGGCCAGCACGUGAGAUAGGGGAGGAAGACUUCCAAAAGAAGUUCAGCAAGGAAAGAGAGAUUCAAGGGCACACCGGACUCCGGCAAUGCCAAAGAUUUCAUCUAUAAAUGGUUCUCCUCGCUUCCCUCUAACUAUCUUGCUCCCAAACCUCGAUCAACCGCCAGUGAUUUGCACCGAGUUUUCCAAUUUCUAAUAAGACUUCUCGCUAAGCUGGCCUCAAAACCUCGUUAGAAAUUUAGGUGAUGAACCCCUAAACCCACUUCUACCUCCUUCACUAUCCUAAGGUUGCUAUUGACUGACUGCCGGUUUUGGUCGAACAAAGCCUUCCCAUGUUCCGACUUUUUCCCUUUUUUUUUCCUUUUUUCUUGUUCUUCCCAUCCGACUGACCACUGCCACUGUGGAUAUUGCCGCAGCAGCCGCCAUGGGUGUGGCUGGCCUUAGAGCCCUUUACUUCCUCUCUUUUGAGACAAGAACCAUGGUUCUCUCUCUCUUCUUCUUGCUUUCUCUUUUGUCAUCUCUCUCGUGCUCUCUCUGCUCUUUCUCUCUAUUUGUUACUUUCUCUCUUUCUCUCUCUCUCUACAUGCUUUAAUGGGCUCAAAAAGGAAAGGACCCAAUACCUUAUGGACCGGUUGAUCUUUGGAGGGGUCCUAAGCUAGCAUUAUGCAACUAGGGGCUCCAAGUUGGUAUCGUGUAAUCAGGAGUCUAAAGUCCGCAUCAUACAACCCUAAGAGGGGAUUUUGGGCUAACCUUGUUAUGAUCAUCUGCCAUAAUCCAUGGAUGGAUAUGAAUAUUCUGAGACGAUAUCUGGUUAUGUAGGUGUGCAAUCGUUUGGGCAAGAAGAUAUUGAAAAACGUACUUUGCCCCAGCGUUCAAAGAUCGAGGAGUGGAUCGGUGCUCGCGGUACCUAAGUCUGAGACGGGUAGAAAUAAGAAUUUUUACAUAAUCACCUCAUUAGAUAAUAGUAUUUUAUAAUACAUAUCAAUGAUUUUGGAUUUUGCAUCAUUUGUCACAUGAUUGCUAAUUGAUUUCUUAUAUAAAUAUAUAAAUACAUAUUUCUUAUUGUAAUAAUGUAUCAAAUAUCGGUGAUUAUGGUUGCUUGGAAUAUAUUUUUGGUUGUUUGGAAUAUAAUGAUAGUAAUUUUAGAAUUUUGCAAGAAAUAUAAUAAAGAAUUAUAUGUUCUUUGAUAUGGAUGAAAUUGAAUAACUUGAUUGUUGGAUGAAAGAAUUUGGACUAGACAUGUUAUGGAUUGCCAGUCAUGAGUUGAAUCGUCGUACACUGGUUUGUCAUCAUAAGCCGAAACGUGGAUAUUUUGGUUUGCUACUACAGACUAAAGUGCGAAUAUUAUUAUUUGUUACUACCAGUCAAAGUGUAGGAUUAUGGUUUGCUUAUCAUAGAUCGAAGCGUGACCGUAGGUAGUCCAAAUUAGAAAAAUAAUUAUUGAUCAGAAAUCUAAAUAGUAACAUAAGAUAAGACAUAUAAAACCUUUAUUAAAGAAAAGAUUUGGAUUGAUGAUAUAUCUAAUAUGUUUACUUGAAUAAGAUGUAAUUUGAUGCGUACAUUUAGUGUACAUAUUUAUAUGGAUUUAUUUAAGCUAUGUUAAAUAGUCGGUAUGAGAUAUUAUAGUUUUACCUACAUUAUGAUAUGGUUUAUAACUAAUCUCUAUUUUAAAUUUACUUUAUCUAUAUUGGUGUGAGUGUGGGAAUUCUUACUGGGCUGUAAAGCUUCUACCACCUUUUUUUUUUCUUUUCAAAGUUGCAAUAUGCUUAGUCUCAGAUAGGUCAAGCGUAGAGUUCGAGCGUUGAAGUUAUUAGUUAAAUAGUUGAUUUUUUGAUACUAGAUGAAUAUUUAAAUUUUUGUAAUAGAAUAAACUCUUUUAAUGAUGGAUUUAUUAGUUAAACUAUUAUGGUUAAAAUUUAAUGAUUAAUUUAAUUAUUUUGGUCCUACUAAAAACUUUUUUCGUUUUAUAGAUCUUGCAUUAUGUUUAGGGCUUUGCCCUAGGAUUUAUACGGCGGCAGCUGAUCUGGGUGAUGGGUAUGGGGCAUGAACGGGUUAUCGGGCUAAAGUUGAGAUGGUGCCAAAAGAGAGAUUGAGAGCCUAGAUUCACGUAAAAAGUUUUCAGAUCCAAAACUCUGGUCAAAAAAUAAUUUCAGUGCGUUCAAGCAGGACGGCAGUUUUAAAUAAGUAAUAAACUCCACUCGCUUGCUCUUCUUACAAUGCAAGUAGAUUGGUGAUUUGGACAGUUAGACUCAUAUGAAAUUAAUUGAAAAAAAUAAUAAAUCUAAAUUUAUAAAGUUCCAGAAACUAAAACGUAUACGUAAAAGUAUAUGAUGCUCCGAAAUUUAUAGCAAUAAUUACAUAAAGUUGGUAUCUCCUCUUUUUUUCAAAAAAUGAAGUUAGUACACAUGAUAUACAUGCAAAGAUAAAUAAUCCUAAGGGAUAGCUUUGGAAAGCUAAAUGGUUAGACUACAAAUCCAUCCGGAAUCUAGGCUGUGUUUUCAAGUUGGACAUUAGAUCAAAGUUAGUGGUCCAAGACCUGGAAUCUAAAUGUUCCAUUCCAAACAGUGAUCCUUGGGUCAGAUGGCUGAUCUUGAAGCAGUAAAUGGGUGGGUUGGUGGACCAGCCUCGUACCAUUAUUUGGUGAAGGGAGUUGGUCCUCGUGGUACUCGUGGUGGUUGUGAAAGUUGAUCAAAUCUUCCUUUACAUAUCCAGAAUCAUCUUGCUUAACUUUUACUCCUUGCCUCCUUCUUUGUCACUUCCUAUUGCAUCAGGUUAAUAGUUUGCUUAAUAGUAAUGAUAAUGAUAAUAUUAUUGUUAAUAGUGUUAAUAGUGUCCUUCUCUCCAUCUCCCUGUCUACUUGUCUUGACAUGAUGAAUUCGUUAGCACGAAAUGCAAGGAUACCGAUCAACCAACCAUAACAAUCGAUCGAAUUAAUCCAAAAUAUUCGGCAAACUAUCUUUAUCUAUGUAUACUGCCUUUGACAGCUGAUCAAUCAGAGCCACAUCAACUGCUUCUUCUUGGAAGAGAAUCAUUAACAAAAAAAAAGAGCAUAGCAAGUGUUUCCUCUGACAAGUGCUUAAUUAAUAUAAUCCUCGAUCGAUAUGUGGAAGGAGACUGCUAAUAGGUGCGUGUUAGCUGCGACGAAAGCUAAUCAUACUUUACUCCUUAGUGACUGUCUCUGUCAUGCAAUAGAUUACAUGAUGCUUAGAGAUUACAUGAAUAGUAAAACAAGGAAAUGUUGGUGGCUUGGGUUUUGUCAUGGUUUUGGGGUGCCCCAUGGCCAAGGUGCCUCAGUUGAUGUUGUGAUUUAUUUAGGGUAGUAGGGUUGACGGCAUGUGCCAUCAAGUUGUGAAAUCUUGACCUUUUGCAUGGGGCGCUUUCUCCCAAAGACCCAGCUAGGUUUGGGAUAUUCUCACAACUUUACAGUCAUAAUCAUGGUGUUUGUAUAUUAAUUACUGUCAUCAAUCAUGGAAUUUAGGUGCUGGUUCAGUAUUUUAAAUGGAAUUUCAUGGCGAAGGUGUCUUUGUAGAGUUGGAAGGAAGCUAGGAGGACUCGGGUGGUUGUCCUGAUAUGAGCAUCUAGACAUGAGACUCAUGUCAGGGAUGACUAAAAUGGUGCACGUAGAACUAAAGCAACUUCUGAUCUAUUUUCUGGCAAUAAUAGAGAGUGCUAGAUGCGAGUUUGAUAGGAGUUUUCAGAAGUACAAAAUUUUGGUUUGUCAUAAAGCUAGACAUUGAUAUGUUACAAAAGUAUCAAGCUGAUGUGAUUAAAAUGUAGUUAAAGACACUCAUACAUGAUCAGCAUUAUAACAAAGCAUUAACAUAAUCAGUACCAACUUUAAUGAGGAGUAACAUGGAUAAAUUAGUUACUUGAGAUACUUGUACACAUCUAAAUGGAUGGAUGUUAAAGUGCUUAUAUGACUUUAUGAAGGCAUUGAAUUCAUCGAACAAAAACAUUUUCUAGGGUUACCAACUACACGUUAGCUGCACUGAGUCUAGCAUGGCGACAUGCUGUUG
RNAcentral lists this long non-coding RNA (20137 nucleotides) under Phoenix dactylifera (date palm). RNAcentral's name for it is "long non-coding RNA (PDAC_LNC002910)". Lineage: Eukaryota; Viridiplantae; Streptophyta; Magnoliopsida; Arecales; Arecaceae. The record is from RNAcentral.